Molecule: ribosomal RNA, 1382 nt
Filed under: Enterococcus durans
Lineage: Bacteria; Bacillati; Bacillota; Bacilli; Lactobacillales; Enterococcaceae
Description: bacterial SSU rRNA
Rfam family: Bacterial small subunit ribosomal RNA
Source: RNAcentral
GCAAGUCGUACGCUUCUUUUUCCCCGGAGCUUGCUCCACCGGAAAAAGAAGAGUGGCGAACGGGUGAGUAACACGUGGGUAACCUGCCCAUCAGAAGGGGAUAACACUUGGAAACAGGUGCUAAUACCGUAUAACAAUCGAAACCGCAUGGUUUUGAUUUGAAAGGCGCUUUCGGGUGUCGCUGAUGGAUGGACCCGCGGUGCAUUAGCUAGUUGGUGAGGUAACGGCUCACCAAGGCCACGAUGCAUAGCCGACCUGAGAGGGUGAUCGGCCACAUUGGGACUGAGACACGGCCCAAACUCCUACGGGAGGCAGCAGUAGGGAAUCUUCGGCAAUGGACGAAAGUCUGACCGAGCAACGCCGCGUGAGUGAAGAAGGUUUUCGGAUCGUAAAACUCUGUUGUUAGAGAAGAACAAGGAUGAGAGUAACUGUUCAUCCCUUGACGGUAUCUAACCAGAAAGCCACGGCUAACUACGUGCCAGCAGCCGCGGUAAUACGUAGGUGGCAAGCGUUGUCCGGAUUUAUUGGGCGUAAAGCGAGCGCAGGCGGUUUCUUAAGUCUGAUGUGAAAGCCCCCGGCUCAACCGGGGAGGGUCAUUGGAAACUGGGAGACUUGAGUGCAGAAGAGGAGAGUGGAAUUCCAUGUGUAGCGGUGAAAUGCGUAGAUAUAUGGAGGAACACCAGUGGCGAAGGCGGCUCUCUGGUCUGUAACUGACGCUGAGGCUCGAAAGCGUGGGGAGCAAACAGGAUUAGAUACCCUGGUAGUCCACGCCGUAAACGAUGAGUGCUAAGUGUUGGAGGGUUUCCGCCCUUCAGUGCUGCAGCUAACGCAUUAAGCACUCCGCCUGGGGAGUACGACCGCAAGGUUGAAACUCAAAGGAAUUGACGGGGGCCCGCACAAGCGGUGGAGCAUGUGGUUUAAUUCGAAGCAACGCGAAGAACCUUACCAGGUCUUGACAUCCUUUGACCACUCUAGAGAUAGAGCUUCCCCUUCGGGGGCAAAGUGACAGGUGGUGCAUGGUUGUCGUCAGCUCGUGUCGUGAGAUGUUGGGUUAAGUCCCGCAACGAGCGCAACCCUUAUUGUUAGUUGCCAUCAUUUAGUUGGGCACUCUAGCAAGACUGCCGGUGACAAACCGGAGGAAGGUGGGGAUGACGUCAAAUCAUCAUGCCCCUUAUGACCUGGGCUACACACGUGCUACAAUGGGAAGUACAACGAGUCGCGAAGUCGCGAGGCUAAGCUAAUCUCUUAAAGCUUCUCUCAGUUCGGAUUGUAGGCUGCAACUCGCCUACAUGAAGCCGGAAUCGCUAGUAAUCGCGGAUCAGCACGCCGCGGUGAAUACGUUCCCGGGCCUUGUACACACCGCCCGUCACACCACGAGAGUU